This 399-nucleotide ribosomal RNA is filed under the name Candidatus Arthromitus sp. SFB-mouse-SU. Its description in RNAcentral is "bacterial SSU rRNA". It matches the Rfam family "Bacterial small subunit ribosomal RNA", at positions 1147 to 1533 of the family's 1533-position model. Lineage: Bacteria; Bacillati; Bacillota; Clostridia; Eubacteriales; Clostridiaceae. The record is from RNAcentral.
GACAGCCUAGGUUAACUAGGAGGAAGGUGGGGAGUGACGUCAAAUCAUCAUGCCCCUUACGUUUAGGGCUACACACGUGCUACAAUGGUGAGAACAGAGAGAAGCAAGCUAGUGAUAGUGAGCAAAACUUAUAAAACUCAUCUCAGUUCGGAUUGCAGGCUGAAACUCGCCUGUAUGAAGAUGGAGUUGCUAGUAAUCGCGAAUCAGAAUGUCGCGGUGAAUACGUUCCCGGGUCUUGUACACACCGCCCGUCACACCAUGAGAGUUGGCAACACCCGAAACCUGUGGGCUAACCAUAUAGGAGGCAGCAGUCUAAGGUGGGGUCAGUGAUUGGGGUGAAGUCGUAACAAGGUAGCCGUAGGAGAACCUGCGGCUGGAUCACCUCCUUUCUAAGGAAAG